UACGUAGGGUGCGAGCGUUAAUCGGAAUUACUGGGCGUAAAGCGUGCGCAGGCGGUUUUGUAAGUCAGAUGUGAAAUCCCCGGGCUCAACCUGGGAACUGCGUUUGUGACUGUAUGACUAGAGUACGGUAGAGAGGGGUGGAAUUCCUGGUGUAGCAGUGAAAUGCGUAGAUAUCAGGAGGAACAUCGAUGGCGAAGGCAGCCCCUUGGACCUGUACUGACGCUCAUGCACGAAAGCGUGGGGAGCAAACAGG
RNAcentral lists this ribosomal RNA (253 nucleotides) under uncultured bacterium. RNAcentral describes it as "partial 16S ribosomal RNA". It matches the Rfam family "Bacterial small subunit ribosomal RNA", at positions 524 to 776 of the family's 1533-position model. The record is from RNAcentral.